RNAcentral lists this ribosomal RNA (253 nucleotides) under uncultured bacterium. RNAcentral's name for it is "partial 16S ribosomal RNA". It matches the Rfam family "Bacterial small subunit ribosomal RNA", at positions 524 to 776 of the family's 1533-position model. The record is from RNAcentral.
UACAGAGAGUGCGAACGUUUUUCGGAAUUACUGGGCUUAAAGCGCACGUAGGCGGCGCCGCAAGUGUGGAGUGAAAUCCCACGGCUUACCCGUGGAACUGCUUGGCAGACUGCGGUGCUAGAGGAUGGUAGGGGAGAGCGGAACUCCUGGUGGAGCGGUGAAAUGCGUAGAUAUCAGGAGGAACACCGGUGGCGAAGGCGGCUCUCUGGUCCAUUACUGACGCUGAGGUGCGAAAGCUAGGGGAGCAAACAGG